Molecule: long non-coding RNA, 704 nt
Organism: Magnolia sinica
Lineage: Eukaryota; Viridiplantae; Streptophyta; Magnoliopsida; Magnoliales; Magnoliaceae
Exons: 2
Source: RefSeq, a predicted model, not a curated record
GCGAUUGGUCAACUGAUGCUUGUGAGAAAUAAGAGUCAUUAGUUUCUGUAAAUUCAAAAAGGAAUGUAACAAAUGUUGAUGACUAAUUUCAGGGAAAGCUACAGUGGGGACAAGAAAUAGGGGUGAAAAGGCUUUCAAGAAGUUCUGGGCAAGGACUAGAAGAAUUCAAAAACGAGAUUGCAUUAAUUGGAAAACUCCAACAUAUGAAUCUUGUUAGACUGCUUGGUUGUUGCAUUCAAGGAGAGGAAAAGAUACUGAUUUAUGAGUAUAUGCCCAAUAAAAGCUUGGAUUCCUUCCUCUUUGAUCCAGCUAAAAAAGAGCUACUGCAUUGGGGGAAACGCAUCCACAUCAUCGAAGGGAUUGCUCAAGGCCUUCUUUAUCUUCACAAGUACUCCAGAUUAAAAGUCAUUCAUAGAGAUCUAAAAACCAGCAAUAUUUUGUCAGAUGAUGCAAUGAACCCUAAAAUAUCAGAUUUCGGAAUGGCCCGGAUUUUCAGAAACAAUGACUCCAUAGAAACCACAAAACAUAGUAAGUAAAACUGAUCCAAACUUUAUUUGACUUACAUUUUUCUCUUCAUUCAACAUAGUUGGUGUGGUACUAAAACUUGUUCAAUGAUGUAAUCCAGUGGUUAUAUGUCUCCUGAGUAUGCUUUGAAGGGCCUUUUUAAAAUAAAAUCUGACGUCUACAGCUUUGGAGUUAUACUA